AAAGACCCAAAACCAGCAGUCACAGCGACCAAGGAGUGGCAGAAGAAGAACCAGCUGGUGUCGAGUUCUGGUCCAACCGGUCUCCACACAGCAACCCUGCAGAGGAAAAAGAUUCUGAUCCAGCUCGAACACGUCCAGACCUCUCUGACCUGAGAUCGGCUUCUUCCCGUCUCUCUCUCUCUGAUUCUGGAUCAGUUCUGCUGUGCGAACUUGUCACAGAAUCUGGCUUUGGACCAGCUGCGUCAACGGCAGAGUCUCCAGGCAGAAGAUGAGGAUGGAGAGGACGAUGACCAUGACGCUGAUGAUGGCGAUGAUCCUUGCUCCACCCGAAGACUCGG
This is a long non-coding RNA of Gambusia affinis (western mosquitofish), 338 nucleotides long. RefSeq lists it as uncharacterized. Lineage: Eukaryota; Metazoa; Chordata; Actinopteri; Cyprinodontiformes; Poeciliidae. The record is from RefSeq and is a predicted model, not a curated record. The transcript is spliced from 3 exons.